GACGAACGCUGGCGGCGUGCUUAACACAUGCAAGUCGAACGGAAAGGCCCUGCUUUUGUGGGGUGCUCGAGUGGCGAACGGGUGAGUAACACGUGAGUAACCUGCCCUUGACUUUCGGAUAACUUCAGGGAACUGGGGCUAAUACCGGAUAGGAGCUCCUGCUGCAUGGUGUGGGUUGGAAAGUUUCGGCGGUUGGGGAUGGACUCGCGGCUUAUCAGCUUGUUGGUGGGGUAGUGGCUUACCAAGGCUUUGACGGGUAGCCGGCCUGAGAGGGUGACCGGCCACAUUGGGACUGAGAUACGGCCCAGACUCCUACGGGAGGCAGCAGUGGGGAAUAUUGCGCAAUGGGCGGAAGCCUGAUGCAGCAACGCCGCGUGCGGGAUGACGGCCUUCGGGUUGUAAACCGCUUUCGCCUGUGACGAGGCGUGAGUGACGGUAAUGGGUAAAGAAGCACUGGCUAACUACGUG
This 468-nucleotide ribosomal RNA is filed under the name uncultured bacterium. RNAcentral's name for it is "partial 16S ribosomal RNA". It matches the Rfam family "Bacterial small subunit ribosomal RNA", at positions 28 to 507 of the family's 1533-position model. The record is from RNAcentral.